AUUCUCUUGCAUUCCACCCGGGGAACAAGACAGCACCGGGUUUCACACUGGCAAGGCAGGAGGCUGUGUGCUGCCAGAACGACCAGCAGGGGGCGCAAAGGCCACGCCAGGCACCUGCUGGCCUCAGAGAAAACAGAAAGGGAACCAGGAAGCCCACUCCUGCUGUCCUUUCUCUGCAAGGAAAUGUGCCAGGGCACUGCAGCCCAGACAGUCGGCAGUAGAGGACCCAUGAAGUAUCUUUGUGCAAAGAAAGCAGCAAAGAGAAUUAAGAGAAUUGCAUCAUAUAAAGAGUGAAUUAAACCAUCUAAAGGAGCAAAAAUUCAUCAUCACAUGGACAAGAAAUUAAGACGUAACAUCCAUCUCACUAUUUGCAAAGUGGCUUAUUCCUACAGACAAUGCAGAUAUGUAAAAAGCAGCUGGAAACCUAGGAGCAGAAGCCCAGCAUAAAGAUCUCUGAAAGCCUGGAUGCGUGGAUUCCUCUCUUACUUCCCAAAACGGUGGGGUGGAAAUGUGAAUAUCAGCAUGAUGCACAGAUCUCUGCAGAUGUCCAGCGAACUGAAUUUCUAGACGCUAUAAUCUAUGUUCUUUCCCAACCCCCACUUCAGUUUACAUAUCGCAGGCCAUAGAUCCUGUUUGUUGAAAAGCGAUCAGCUAGAAAACAAGAGUGGUUAUAACCUGUGCUGCCCAGUGAUCAGGAAAAGAGAGCGGAUGAAACUUCCAUGACUUUCUGUUAGUCUGAUUAAUAUCCAUGCCAAAUGUAAGAUUAGUUAAAAGGCCUUAUUGCUUCCCACCAAAAUGUUCCUUCACUAGCUAUAUACUACACUGAAAUGUAAAGUUAUGGGUAUGUUUAACAGUUUAAUUUGUCAGUGGGCAUCCAACUCUUCUAUUUGUGUUUUUACUUUGAGCUUAAUUGGAGCAGACAAAUAGAGGUGACCUCUAACUGUUUUCUUCCUGAAGCCAUUUUCAGGGCAGAAGUGCUUUACCCACUUCAUUGAGAAACCACCUUUGCAUGCAGUACCCUGAGCUGUCUUCAGCACACCAAGCAUCCACAACAUGGGAAAUACCGUGCUUUAAAUGUUGCUUUAAUCACAGUGCUCAUGAGUAAGGGCAUGUCCUGUCUCUUAUCCAUGAAAACACUCCCACAAAAUGAAGUCACACCCAGUAUCUGUUAACGGAGAUACUGAGUGGGUGAAGAAGACUCAUUCCCUAAUGCAAUUCAGGUCACACAGGGUAAAAAAGAAAAAAAAAUCCUUUUCUGUUGAGGAUACAGAUGGAGAGAAAAUGGAAAAUGCCUUUCAGGAAGCACAAGCCUAGUUUUCUAAUUGUGUUUCAGUGAACACGCAGGUGAACUUACCUGUGUGGCUUGGUAUUGUGGUGGGUUUUCAGCUUCUUCUCCACCAAAUCCUUUGAAAAGCAGCAGUGGCAGAAACAAAUAACCCAAUUAAAAACAAUAAUAGCAACAAUAAAAAAAGAAAAGAUG
RNAcentral lists this long non-coding RNA (1480 nucleotides) under Homo sapiens (human). RNAcentral describes it as "non-protein coding LINC02372:12". The record is from RNAcentral. Lineage: Eukaryota; Metazoa; Chordata; Mammalia; Primates; Hominidae.